Molecule: ribosomal RNA, 521 nt
Filed under: uncultured bacterium
Lineage: Bacteria
Description: bacterial SSU rRNA
Rfam family: Bacterial small subunit ribosomal RNA
Source: RNAcentral
CCAGAGAACUUUCCAGAGAUGGAUUGGUGCCUUCGGGAACUCUGAGACAGGUGCUGCAUGGCUGUCGUCAGCUCGUGUUGUGAAAUGUUGGGUUAAGUCCCGCAACGAGCGCAACCCUUAUCCUUUGUUGCCAGCGGUUAGGCCGGGAACUCAAAGGAGACUGCCAGUGAUAAACUGGAGGAAGGUGGGGAUGACGUCAAGUCAUCAUGGCCCUUACGAGUAGGGCUACACACGUGCUACAAUGGCGCAUACAAAGAGAAGCGACCUCGCGAGAGCAAGCGGACCUCAUAAAGUGCGUCGUAGUCCGGAUUGGAGUCUGCAACUCGACUCCAUGAAGUCGGAAUCGCUAGUAAUCGUAGAUCAGAAUGCUACGGUGAAUACGUUCCCGGGCCUUGUACACACCGCCCGUCACACCAUGGGAGUGGGUUGCAAAAGAAGUAGGUAGCUUAACCUUCGGGAGGGCGCUUACCACUUUGUGAUUCAUGACUGGGGUGAAGUCGUAACAAGGUAGGCGUAGUGCU